Long non-coding RNA from Xenopus laevis (African clawed frog), 544 nucleotides. RefSeq lists it as uncharacterized. The transcript is spliced from 3 exons. The record is from RefSeq and is a predicted model, not a curated record. NCBI's taxonomy places the organism in Eukaryota, Metazoa, Chordata, Amphibia, Anura, Pipidae.
CUCACUUACUAUGUUACUGUGUUACUAUGUUACUAAAUGACUGUGUUACUAAGUUAUUAUAUAUCUUUCCGCUAGAGCUGUACUUUCCUGGAAGCCUCAGUCUCUCUUCUGGGACAGUUCCCCCUGGGAUUUGCAAGAAAUCUUCCUAUACAAGUACCUGGGGAUCAGCGACUCUGUUUAUUCUCAGUCCCUUGACUUUAUUCUUCAAUCCUAAGCAAGGUGGGUGCCCUCCUAUCUGCAACACUUCAGAGACCAAGAACAAAUCAAAUGUCCCUCCCAGCUAUGCCAGUCUCUUUCUGUAUCAGUAUAAUCCCCAUUGUUUCUGAGAGUCAUUCAACUGACACAUCAUUACCCUUGAAAGGACUAUGAAGCGCCAAGAAUUUCGGUUGGAUUAAAGAAUAUAUUGAAAAUACCAAAGAACAUUUGGCUGAAUGAGUAAUGAACUGUCCAAUGGUUUGAGGGGUGAUGUGCACCUACACCCCAAACUGCAGAGACCCAGGCUCUUCCAAAGACAAAACCAUUCGCUGCAGAUCAUUAGUCUGGA